AUAUAAAAGGUAAUCCAUACACCACUCGUGUAAACCAAAUACAGAACCUGAAACACUUGUGCCCCAACGACAGCUGUCAGAUCAUCUCCCAUGGCCUUUAAUACAUAAGCUAGCAUACUUGUCGUGGUACUCUUUCCUACAAGUAUAUAUAAAUGAUGUUUUGUUCGUAAGAGAAAACCAAUUCAUGCAAGAGAAAUAUAACCCAUAUAUAGGUUAGCAAAAUCCACUCUAAACCAAGGCGGACAAUUAGCACAUAUAUUCUAAUCGAUGUCCGCAUCUGGUUUGUCUCCUCACAAACAUGAAGUUUCCAAUACCAAUUAUCAAGGCU
Molecule: long non-coding RNA, 328 nt
Filed under: Salvia miltiorrhiza (redroot sage)
Lineage: Eukaryota; Viridiplantae; Streptophyta; Magnoliopsida; Lamiales; Lamiaceae
Description: long non-coding RNA (SMIL_LNC009809)
Source: RNAcentral